CCUACGGGUGGCAGCAGUGGGGAAUAUUGGGCAAUGGGCGCAAGCCUGACCCAGCAACGCCGCGUGAACGAUGAAGUCUUUCGGGUUGUAAACUUCUUUUCUAAGGGACGAAGAUAGUGAUGGUACCUUAGGAAUAAGCUCCUGCUAACUACGUGCCAGCAGCCGCGGUAAUACGUAGGGAGCGAGCGUUAUCCGGAUUUACUGGGUGUAAAGGGGGUGUAGGCGGGAUGGCAAGUCAGAUGUGAAAGCCUAUGGCUUAACCAUAGUACUGCAUUUGAAACUGUUAGUCUAGAGUAUGGGAGAGGUAGGUGGAAUUCUUGGUGUAGGGGUAAAAUCCGUAGAUAUCAAGAGGAACACUCGUGGCGAAGGCGACCUGCUAGAACAUAACUGACGCUGAGGCGCGAAAGCGUGGGGAGCAAACAGGAUUAGAUACCCCUGUAGUC
RNAcentral lists this ribosomal RNA (443 nucleotides) under uncultured bacterium. Its description in RNAcentral is "partial 16S ribosomal RNA". It matches the Rfam family "Bacterial small subunit ribosomal RNA", at positions 338 to 795 of the family's 1533-position model. The record is from RNAcentral.